AUGCAAGUCGAACGGCAGCGCAGGGUAGCAAUCCUGGCGGCGAGUGGCGAACGGGUGAGUAAUACAUCGGAACGUGCCCAAUCGUGGGGGAUAACGCAGCGAAAGCUGUGCUAAUACCGCAUACGAUCUACGGAUGAAAGCAGGGGAUCGCAAGACCUUGCGCGAAUGGAGCGGCCGAUGGCAGAUUAGGUAGUUGGUGAGGUAAAGGCUCACCAAGCCUUCGAUCUGUAGCUGGUCUGAGAGGACGACCAGCCACACUGGGACUGAGACACGGCCCAGACUCCUACGGGAGGCAGCAGUGGGGAAUUUUGGACGAUGGGCGAAAGCCUGAUCCAGCCAUGCCGCGUGCAGGAUGAAGGCCUUCGGGUUGUAAACUGCUUUUGUACGGAACGAAACGGUCUUUUCUAAUACAGAAGGCUAAUGACGGUACCGUAAGAAUAAGCACCGGCUAACUACGUGCCAGCAGCCGCGGUAAUACGUAGGGUGCAAGCGUUAAUCGGAAUUACUGGGCGUAAAGCGUGCGCAGGCGGUUAUGUAAGACAGUUGUGAAAUCCCCGGGCUCAACCUGGGAACUGCAUCUGUGACUGCAUAGCUAGAGUACGGUAGAGGGGGAUGGAAUUCCGCGUGUAGCAGUGAAAUGCGUAGAUAUGCGGAGGAACACCGAUGGCGAAGGCAAUCCCCUGGACCUGUACUGACGCUCAUGCACGAAAGCGUGGGGAGCAAACAGGAUUAGAUACCCUGGUAGUCCACGCCCUAAACGAUGUCAACUGGGUUGUUGGGUCUUCACUGACUCGGUAGCGAAGCUAACGCGUGAAGUUGACCGCCUGGGGAGUACGGCCGCGAGGUUGAUACUCGGAGUAAUUGACGGGCACCCGCACAGCGGGGAUGGAGGUGGAUUACUUCGAUGCACCGCGAAACAUCCUUAGCCACCUUUGACAUGAACGGAAUUCGCCAGAGAUGACUUAGUGCUCGAAAGA
RNAcentral lists this ribosomal RNA (977 nucleotides) under Variovorax sp. RNAcentral's name for it is "bacterial SSU rRNA". It matches the Rfam family "Bacterial small subunit ribosomal RNA", at positions 55 to 1025 of the family's 1533-position model. Lineage: Bacteria; Pseudomonadati; Pseudomonadota; Betaproteobacteria; Burkholderiales; Comamonadaceae. The record is from RNAcentral.